CCGAGUUUACAACUCCCAAACCCCUGUGAACAUACCUACUUGUUGCCUCGGCGGAUCAGCCCGCGCCCGUAAAACGGGACGGCCCGCCGCAGGAACCCUAAACUCUGUUUCUAUAGUGGAACUCCUGAGUAUAAAACCAUAAUAAAUCA
Molecule: unclassified non-coding RNA, 149 nt
Filed under: soil metagenome
Description: partial internal transcribed spacer 1
Source: RNAcentral